UUGACCUCGGAUCAGGUAGGGAUACCCGCUGAACUUAAGCAUAUCAAUAAGCGGAGGAAAAGAAACCAACAGGGAUUGCCCUAGUAACGGCGAGUGAAGCGGCAACAGCUCAAAUUUGAAAUCUGGCUCUUUUAGAGUCCGAGUUGUAAUUUGCAGAGGGCGCUUUGGCUUUGGCAGCGGUCCAAGUUCCUUGGAACAGGACGUCACAGAGGGUGAGAAUCCCGUACGUGGUCGCUGGCUAUUGCCGUGUAAAGCCCCUUCGACGAGUCGAGUUGUUUGGGAAUGCAGCUCUAAAUGGGAGGUACAUUUCUUCUAAAGCUAAAUAUUGGCCAGAGACCGAUAGCGCACAAGUAGAGUGAUCGAAAGAUGAAAAGCACUUUGGAAAGAGAGUCAAACAGCACGUGAAAUUGUUGAAAGGGAAGCGCUUGCAGCCAGACUUGCUUGCAGUUGCUCAUCCGGGCUUUUGCCCGGUGCACUCUUCUGCAGGCAGGCCAGCAUCAGUUUGGGCGGUAGGAUAAAGGUCUCUGUCACGUACCUCUCUUCGGGGAGGCCUUAUAGGGGAGACGACAUACUACCAGCCUGGACUGAGGUCCGCGCAUCUGCUAGGAUGCUGGCGUAAUGGCUGUAAGCGGCCCGUCUUGAAACACGGACCAAGGAGUCUAACAUCUAUGCGAGUGUUUGGGUGUCAAGCCCGAGCGCGUAAUGAAAGUGAACGGAGGUAGGAACCCGCAAGGGUGCACUAUCGACCGAUCCUGAUGUCUUCGGAAGGAUUUGAGUAAGAGCAUGGCUGUUGGGACCCGAAAGAUGGUGAACUAUGCUUGAAUAGGGUGAAGCCAGAGGAAACUCUGGUGGAGGCUCGCAGCGGUUCUGACGUGCAAAUCGAUCGUCAAAUUUGGGCAUAGGGGCGAAAGACUAAUCGAACUAUCUAGUAG
RNAcentral lists this ribosomal RNA (932 nucleotides) under Alternaria malorum. RNAcentral's name for it is "eukaryotic LSU rRNA". It matches the Rfam family "Eukaryotic large subunit ribosomal RNA", at positions 1 to 950 of the family's 3401-position model. Lineage: Eukaryota; Fungi; Ascomycota; Dothideomycetes; Pleosporales; Pleosporaceae. The record is from RNAcentral.